This 511-nucleotide long non-coding RNA is filed under the name Mustela putorius furo (domestic ferret). RNAcentral describes it as "lncRNA (ENSMPUG00000026689.1)". The record is from RNAcentral. Lineage: Eukaryota; Metazoa; Chordata; Mammalia; Carnivora; Mustelidae.
UUUAUUGCAGAUACAAGGAAGGGGAAAUUGAUCCUAGGUCACCAAACUCAUACUAUUCAGAAUAUAGUGCUCUGAGGACCAAGAUCUUGUCUACAUGUUGCCCAACCAAAGCACUGGUCGGCGAUCUGAAUUUCCAUUAUGCAUUCAGGAUGUCACACCUGUGGAUCUCUGCAGGAAAAUAAAGUUGAUCACUGAUUUCACAUCUCUUAUCAACACCCAUGAAUCAUUUCUAUCUCCUCUACAUUGAAUCGUUUUUUUAAAAGAAGACUAAAAAAAGAUGAAGACGAAAUCCACAUAUGGAGGCUGGGACGAUACAAUUAGAAUGCUCCAUAUUCACACAGGUAUAUAUCCAUUAAGGUGGAUUAUCUUUUGAUCAUUUGUAUUCAUCACUUAGAUGUUUUCUAAACUUACACUGAACAUGCAAAGUGCAAAGAUACAAGAAAACUUAAAUAAAAAUAAAUAAAUAAAUAAAUAAAAUCUUAAAAAAAAAAAUACAAGAAAACCUUUCAAG